UACGUAGGGACCGAGCGUUGUCCGGAAUCAUUGGGCGUAAAGAGCGUGUAGGCGGCCAACUAAGUCCUGCGUGAAAUCUCGGGGCUCAACCCCGAGCGGUCGUGGGAAACUGGUUGGCUAGAGUGCGGGAGAGGAGAGUGGAAUUCCUGGUGUAGCGGUGAAAUGCGCAGAUAUCAGGAAGAACACCAGUGGCGAAGGCGGCUCUCUGGAACGCAACUGACGCUGAGACGCGAAAGCGUGGGGAGCAAACAGG
Molecule: ribosomal RNA, 253 nt
Filed under: uncultured bacterium
Lineage: Bacteria
Description: partial 16S ribosomal RNA
Rfam family: Bacterial small subunit ribosomal RNA
Source: RNAcentral